This 794-nucleotide ribosomal RNA is filed under the name uncultured bacterium. RNAcentral describes it as "bacterial SSU rRNA". It matches the Rfam family "Bacterial small subunit ribosomal RNA", at positions 8 to 796 of the family's 1533-position model. The record is from RNAcentral.
AGAGUUUGAUCCUGGCUCAGAUUGAACGCUGGCGGCAGGCUUAACACAUGCAAGUCGAGCGGGGWRRURUAGCUUGCUAYAYKACCUAGCGGCGGACGGGUGAGUAAUGCUUAGGAAUCUGCCUAUUAGUGGGGGACAACAUUCCGAAAGGAAUGCUAAUACCGCAUACGCCCUACGGGGGAAAGCAGGGGAUCUUCGGACCUUGCGCUAAUAGAUGAGCCUAAGUCAGAUUAGCUAGUUGGUGGGGUAAAGGCCUACCAAGGCGACGAUCUGUAGCGGGUCUGAGAGGAUGAUCCGCCACACUGGGACUGAGACACGGCCCAGACUCCUACGGGAGGCAGCAGUGGGGAAUAUUGGACAAUGGGCGMAAGCCUGAUCCAGCCAUGCCGCGUGUGUGAAGAAGGCCUUUUGGUUGUAAAGCACUUUAAGCGAGGAGGAGGCUACYKRGAUUAAUACUCUWGGAUAGUGGACGUUACUCGCAGAAUAAGCACCGGCUAACUCUGUGCCAGCAGCCGCGGUAAUACAGAGGGUGCGAGCGUUAAUCGGAUUUACUGGGCGUAAAGCGUGCGUAGGCGGCUUUUUAAGUCGGAUGUGAAAUCCCUGAGCUUAACUUAGGAAUUGCAUUCGAUACUGGGAAGCUAGAGUAUGGGAGAGGAUGGUAGAAUUCCAGGUGUAGCGGUGAAAUGCGUAGAGAUCUGGAGGAAUACCGAUGGCGAAGGCAGCCAUCUGGCCUAAUACUGACGCUGRGGUACGAAAGCAUGGGGAGCAAACAGGAUUAGAUACCCUGGUAGUCC